CCAAUAGCGUAUAUUAAAGUUGUUGCAGUUAAAAAGCUCGUAGUUGAAUUUCGGGAUCAAUAUGUCGGUCGUGCUUUUUGGUACGUACUGGCGUCAUUGGUUUCUCCUUUCUGACGAACCAUGAUGUCAUUAAUUUGGUGCUAUGGGAAGUUAGGACUGUUACUUUGAAAAAAUUAGAGUGUUUAAAGCAGGCAUUAGCUUGAAUACAUUAGCAUGGAAUAAUGAAAUAGGACGUUCGAUCCUAUUUUGUUGGUUUCUAGGAUCAACGUAAUGAUUAAUAGGGAUAGUUGGGGGCAUUAGUAUUUAAUUGUCAGAGGUGAAAUUCUUGGAUUUAUUGAAGACCAACUACUGCGAAAGCAUUUGCCAAGGAUGUUUUCAUUAAUCAAGAACGAAAGUUAGGGGAUCGAAGACGAUCAGAUACCGUCGUAGUCUUAACCAUAAACUAUGCCAACUAGGGAUCGGAUGAUGUUAAUUUUUUAAUGAUUCAUUCGGCGCCUUACG
Molecule: ribosomal RNA, 501 nt
Filed under: uncultured Glomeromycotina
Lineage: Eukaryota; Fungi; Glomeromycota
Description: partial small subunit ribosomal RNA
Rfam family: Eukaryotic small subunit ribosomal RNA
Source: RNAcentral